RNAcentral lists this ribosomal RNA (253 nucleotides) under uncultured bacterium. Its description in RNAcentral is "partial 16S ribosomal RNA". It matches the Rfam family "Bacterial small subunit ribosomal RNA", at positions 524 to 776 of the family's 1533-position model. The record is from RNAcentral.
GACGUAGGAGGCGAGCGUUAUCCGGAUUCACUGGGCGUAAAGCGCAUGUAGGCGGUUCGAUAAGUCCGCUGUUAAAGCCCCCGGCUCAACUGGGGGAGGUCAGUGGAGACUAUAGGACUUGAGGGCAACAGAGGCACGUGGAACUCCCGGUGUAGCGGUGGAAUGCGUAGAGAUCGGGAAGAAUACCAGUGGCGAAGGCGACGUGCUGGGUUGCGACUGACGCUGAGAUGCGAAAGCGUGGAGAGCAAACAGG